This is a ribosomal RNA of 838 nucleotides. It matches the Rfam family "Eukaryotic small subunit ribosomal RNA", at positions 105 to 956 of the family's 1831-position model.
AACAGCUAAAAUUUACUUGAUAUUGACAUUUAUCUACAUGGAUAACUGUGGUAAUUCUGGAGCUAAUACAUGCAUAAAAGCUUUACCUUUAUGGGUAAGGUGCAGUUAUUGGAUCAAAAUCAAGCAUCUUCGGAUGUUUAAGAUUGACUUCAAAUAAUUACACAGCUGAUCGUAUGGUCUUGUACCGACGACAAGUCAUUCAAGUGUCUGACCUAUCAACUUUCUAUAUAAGUAUAUAGUACUUAUAUGGUUUUGACGGGUAACGGAGAAUUAGGGUUCGACUCCGGAGAAAAUGCCUGAGAAACGGCGUUUACAUCCAAGGAAGGCAGCAGGCGCGAAAAUUACCCACUCUCAGUUCGAGGAGGUAGUGACGAGAAAUGACAAGAUCUAGUCCUUCGGGGCUGGAUCAUUGGAAUGGUUUGAUUUUAAAACCAUUAAAGAGUAUCAAUGAGAGGGCAAGUCUGGUGCCAGCAGCCGCGGUAAUUCCAGCUCUCAUACUGCAUUGAAUUGUUGUUGCGGUUAAAAAGCUCGUAGUUGGAUCUCUACACGAUAGGUUGGUGUAUCCUUUGGAUUACUACUAAUACUAAGUGUUUUUUACAAGUUUUUAUAUACUUCGGUGUAUAUGACUUGUGAGUUUACUUUGAAUAAAUCAGAGUGCUCAAAACAGGCGUAAGCUUGUAUGGUUUUGCAUGGAAUAAUAGAACAUGACUAUGGUUCAUGUUUUAUUGGUUUUACUUACCAUAGUAAUGAUUAAAAGGAACAAACGGGGGCGUCCGUAUCAUAAGGCGAGAGGUGAAAUUCGUGGACCCUUGUGAGACGAACUACAGCGAAGGCAUUU